GACGAACGCUGGCGGCGUGCCUAAUACAUGCAAGUAGAACGCUGAAGGAGGAGCUUGCUUCUCUGGAUGAGUUGCGAACGGGUGAGUAACGCGUAGGUAACCUGCCUGGUAGCGGGGGAUAACUAUUGGAAACGAUAGCUAAUACCGCAUAAGAGUAGAUGUUGCAUGACAUUUGCUUAAAAGGUGCAAUUGCAUCACUACCAGAUGGACCUGCGUUGUAUUAGCUAGUUGGUGGGAUAACGGCUUACCAAGGCGACGAUACAUAGCCGACCUGAGAGGGUGAUCGGCCACACUGGGACGGAGACACGGCCCAGACUCCUACGGGAGGCAGCAGUAGGGAAUCUUCGGCAAUGGACGGAAGUCUGACCGAGCAACGCCGCGUGAGUGAAGAAGGUUUUCGGAUCGUAAAGCUCUGUUGUAAGAGAAGAACGAGUGUGAGAGUGGAAAGUUCACACUGUGACGGUAUCUUACCAGAAAGGGACGGCUAACUACGUG
RNAcentral lists this ribosomal RNA (495 nucleotides) under uncultured bacterium. RNAcentral describes it as "partial 16S ribosomal RNA". It matches the Rfam family "Bacterial small subunit ribosomal RNA", at positions 28 to 507 of the family's 1533-position model. The record is from RNAcentral.